AUGAACGCUAGCGACAGGCCUAACACAUGCAAGUCGAGGGGCAGCACAAGGAGCAAUCUGAGGUGGCGACCAGCGCACGGGUGAGUAACACGUAUGCAACCUGCCUGUAAGCGGGGAAUAACCCGUUGAAAGACGGACUAAUACCGCAUAAUACUAAAUUACUGCAUGGUAAUUUAUUUAAACAUUUAUGGCUUACAGAUGGGCAUGCGCAUGAUUAGCUAGUUGGAGAGGUAACGGCUCCCCAAGGCAACGAUCAUUAGGGGUUCUGAGAGGAAGGUCCCCCACACUGGUACUGAGACACGGACCAGACUCCUACGGGAGGCAGCAGUGAGGAAUAUUGGUCAAUGGACGAGAGUCUGAACCAGCCAAGUCGCGUGCAGGAAGAAUGUCCCUAUGGAUUGUAAACUGCUUUUGCAGGGGAAUAAAGUGCAUCACGUGUGAUGUUUUGUAUGUACUCUGCGAAUAAGGAUCGGCUAACUCCGUGCCAGCCGCCGC
This 495-nucleotide ribosomal RNA is filed under the name uncultured bacterium. RNAcentral describes it as "bacterial SSU rRNA". It matches the Rfam family "Bacterial small subunit ribosomal RNA", at positions 29 to 518 of the family's 1533-position model. The record is from RNAcentral.